This 253-nucleotide ribosomal RNA is filed under the name uncultured bacterium. RNAcentral's name for it is "partial 16S ribosomal RNA". It matches the Rfam family "Bacterial small subunit ribosomal RNA", at positions 524 to 776 of the family's 1533-position model. The record is from RNAcentral.
UACGUAGGUGGCGAGCGUUGUCCGGAAUUACUGGGUGUAAAGGGCGCGUAGGCGGGCGCUUAAGUCAGACGUGAAAUACCGAGGCUCAACCUCGGGGCUGCGUUUGAAACUGGGCGUCUUGAGUGCAGGAGAGGGAAGCGGAAUUCCUAGUGUAGCGGUGAAAUGCGUAGAUAUUAGGAGGAACACCAGUGGCGAAGGAGGCUUUCGGGACUGUAACUGACGCUGAGGCGCGAAAGCGUGGGGAGCAAACAGG